AGGGUGUCGGGUUAAGUCCCAUAACGAGCGCAACCCCUAUCAUUAGUUGCCAUCAGGUCAAGCUGGGGACUCUAAUGAAACUGCCUACGCAAGUAGUGAGGAAGGUGGGGAUGACGUCAAAUCAGCACGGCCCUUACGUCCAGGGCUACACACGUGCUACAAUGGCCGGUACAGAGCGCAGCGAGGCCGCGAGGCGGAGCGAAUCGCUUAAAGCCGGUCCCAGUACGGAUUGGAGUCUGCAACCCGACUCCAUGAAGUUGGAAUCGCUAGUAAUCGCGCAUCAGCAUGGCGCGGUGAAUACGUUCCCGGGCCUU
This 314-nucleotide ribosomal RNA is filed under the name uncultured Bacteroidota bacterium. RNAcentral describes it as "bacterial SSU rRNA". It matches the Rfam family "Bacterial small subunit ribosomal RNA", at positions 1069 to 1382 of the family's 1533-position model. Lineage: Bacteria; Pseudomonadati; Bacteroidota. The record is from RNAcentral.